RNAcentral lists this long non-coding RNA (223 nucleotides) under Gossypium raimondii (Peruvian cotton). RNAcentral's name for it is "long non-coding RNA (GRAI_LNC005449)". The record is from RNAcentral. Lineage: Eukaryota; Viridiplantae; Streptophyta; Magnoliopsida; Malvales; Malvaceae.
CGGUGGUGGCAGUGCGCGGCGGCCAGUAAGUGGACGACGCACCUAGGGUUAGGGUUACUUUUUUUUGUUGUUUUCUAAUUUGGGCCAUUUGGGUAGUUGGGCUUUAGAUUUUGGGCUUGAGAUAGUUGGGUCUGUGAUUGGGGUAUUGGACUAAUGUUUUGGGUUUGGACCACGGGUAAAUUAGGGCUGUACAAAAGGCAAAGAGAAGAAGUUAAGAUUUUCU